UCGAUUUAUCAAGAAUGCUGAAAAGGCUGCUGAUCUCCAGAACUAUGUGCUGUGCGUUGAGAUGCUCAUAGCUGCCAUUGGGCACCUAUUUGCCUUUCCCUACAAGGAGUAUGCAGGUGCAAAUGCUCGCCCUUCGGGUGGUUUCAGGGAAAGCCUUCUUCAUGCUUUGAAAUUCAACGAUUUCUACCAUGACACUGUUCACCAGGUAACCAGGAUCUUAGACGCCUAUUCCCUGUAUCUGGCGCUCACUGUCUAACUUCUCGAUCAAAUCGGCUCCAUUCUUGUUUGCUGAAGGAAACUACAUUCUUGUUUACUGUGCCUUGCCUGUAUCUUGGUCUAAUCGGCUUCAUUCUCAUGCAGUUUGCUCCUACCUACAACGAAUAUGUGCUGUACAACCACAAUGAGGGAGAGAGUGCACCGACAAAGUUUCCUUCAGGGAGCGCCGUGCCAAGUGUCCGGGAUGUGGAGUUG
RNAcentral lists this long non-coding RNA (471 nucleotides) under Triticum aestivum (bread wheat). RNAcentral describes it as "long non-coding RNA (TAES_LNC009394)". The record is from RNAcentral. Lineage: Eukaryota; Viridiplantae; Streptophyta; Magnoliopsida; Poales; Poaceae.